GGCUGCUUUGCUUCGCCUGCCGCUAGCCAGCGCCGGAGUCCCGGGGCCGGAUGCCAUGGGUAACAACCUCUCCAGUGGCCCCUCUCUGCCGCGAGGAAACCCGAGUCGGGCGCCGCGGGGCCAUCCGCAGAACCUCAAAGACUCCAUUGGGGGUCCCUUCCCGGUCCCCUCUCACAGAUGCCACCACAAACAGAAGCACUGUCCGCCAGCGCUGCCCGGCGGGGGGCUCCCGGCCACGCCGCUGCUCUUCCACCCGCACACCAAGGGCUCCCAGAUCCUCAUGGACCUCAGCCACAAGGCCGUCAAGAGGCAGGCCAGCUUCUGCAAUGCCAUCACCUUUAGCAACCGGCCCGUCCUCAUCUAUGAGCAAGUCAGGCUGAAGAUCACCAGGAAGCAGUGCUGCUGGAGCGGUGCGCUGCGUCUGGGCUUCACCAGCAAGGACCCUUCGCGCAUCCAUCCUGACUCGUUGCCUAAGUAUGCCUGCCCCGACCUCGUGUCCCAGAGUGGUUUCUGGGCCAAGGCACUGCCCGAGGAGUUUGCCAACGAGGGCAACAUCAUCGCCUUCUGGGUGGACAAGAAGGGCCACGUCUUCUACCGCAUCAAUGAUUCCGCUGCCAUGCUCUUCUUCAGCGGAGUCCGCACGGCCGACCCACUCUGGGCCCUGGUGGACGUGUACGGUCUCACGCGGGGUGUCCAGCUGCUGGACAGUGAGCUGGUGCUGCCCGACUGCCUGAGGCCGCGCUCCUUCACCGCCCUGCGGCGGCCGUCGCUGCGGCGCGAGGCCGACGAGGCGCGCCUCUCCGUGAGCCUGUGCGACCUCAACCUGCCGGGCGCCGACGCGGACGAGGGCGCGCCGGCCGUCGGAGGCCCGAUCCCGCAGAACUCGCUCAACUCCCAGCACAGCCGCGCGCUGCCGGCGCAACUCGACGGCGACCUGCGUUUCCACGCGCUGCGCGCCGGCGCGCACGUCCGCAUCCUGGACGAGCAGACGGUGGCGCGCCUGGAGCAUGGGCGCGAUGAGCGUGCGCUCGUCUUCACCAGCCGGCCCGUGCGCGUGGCCGAGACCAUCUUCGUCAAGGUCACGCGCUCGGGCGGCGCGCGGCCCGGCGCGCUCUCCUUCGGUGUCACCACGUGCGACCCGGGCACGCUGCGGCCAGCCGACUUGCCCUUCAGCCCUGAGGCCCUGGUGGACCGCAAGGAGUUCUGGGCCGUGUGCCGCGUGCCCGGGCCUCUGCACAGCGGCGACAUCCUAGGUCUGGUGGUCAACGCUGACGGCGAGCUGCACCUCAGUCACAAUGGCGUAGCCGCCGGCAUGCAGCUGUGCGUGGACGCCUCGCAACCACUCUGGAUGCUCUUUGGCCUGCACGGCGCCAUCACGCAGGUCCGCAUCCUCGGUUCUACCAUCCUGGCAGAGCGGGUCAUCCCAUCACUUCCCUGCUCUCCAGCCUCCACACCCACUUCGCCCAGUGCCCUGGGCAGCCGCCUCUCUGACCCGUUGCUCAGCACAUGCAGCUCUGGCCCACUGGGAAGCUCUGCGGGAGGGACGGCCCCCAACUCUCCAGUGAGCCUGCCCGAGUCACCAGUGACCCCAGGUCUGGGCCAGUGGAGUGAUGAGUGCACCAUUUGCUAUGAACACGCUGUGGACACGGUUAUCUACACAUGUGGCCACAUGUGCCUGUGCUAUGCCUGCGGCUUGCGCCUGAAGAAGGCCCUGCACGCCUGCUGCCCCAUCUGCCGCCGCCCCAUCAAGGACAUCAUCAAGACCUACCGCAGCUCCUAGCACACCCUGCUGGCUGCGGGGUGGAGAGGCAUCCUCCAGUGGUGGACAAGAGCAGGCGCUGGCAUGUCAGGAUGCGGGUGCCCAGCCCUCCUUGUCGCCAAUCUGCACGUACCACCAGCCUCCUGAGUUUUUAUCAAUGACCUGGAGGGAAGAGGGCAAACAGGUUGCUGAUCUCCAUGAUGUUCCCGAUGAUCUCCACUGGGCCUGCCAGGUUCUUCUUCCGGGUGGCCCUCCAGGUUCUUCCGGAUCACCUCCACAGUGACGCCUUUCUCAAAGCUGAUCUCGUCCUUGCUUUGGCUGGUGUAUGGCUGCACGGUGACAUACUUCUCCUCUGUGGGAACUCACACAUCAUGAUCUACCAUGCACAGAGAAGGCAGCCCAGGGCGGCAUCACUGAAGCCCAGGCUACAGCAGGGGCAGGUACAGCCCAUCCCCUCCUGCCUGGACUGUGAUGGUUCAGCUCCUGCUCUGACCCAAGUGAGUAGCUCACCAGCGAGGCAGCCUGAGGACCAAGUCAGCAAAAUAGCAGUCCAGCUGAGAGUAAAAGCACCAGUGCGAGCAAGUCAGACAUGGAGAGUAUGAGUCAGCCACGAUCUGCGUCAUGUCAGCUCCUGGCUCCAGGUGUGCUCAAGCUGGACCAUCCUGCUGGUCUUCCCACUUGUCAUGAGUCAAAGAACUUUCUGUUCUGUUUACUUCACCCAAAGCUGAGCUUCAGUCAUUUGGACACAGAACAACCUUGCUCCUGCUACACCCUUUCCCCAUGCCAACAAUCACUGAGUCUAGGGAAUAAACACCAAGUGGGCACCUGU
Ochotona princeps (American pika) is the source of this 2588-nucleotide RNA transcript. It is a transcript of the gene named neuralized E3 ubiquitin protein ligase 1, with no coding region annotated. Lineage: Eukaryota; Metazoa; Chordata; Mammalia; Lagomorpha; Ochotonidae. The transcript is spliced from 12 exons. The record is from RefSeq and is a predicted model, not a curated record.